This 207-nucleotide ribosomal RNA is filed under the name uncultured bacterium. RNAcentral describes it as "partial 16S ribosomal RNA". It matches the Rfam family "Bacterial small subunit ribosomal RNA", at positions 568 to 774 of the family's 1533-position model. The record is from RNAcentral.
CGCGUAGGCGGCCAUGUUAGUCGGUUGUGAAAUCCCUUGGCUCAACCAAGGAACUGCAACCGAAACUGCAUGGCUCGAGUCCGGGAGAGGGUAGUGGAAUUCCCAGUGUAGCGGUGAAAUGCGUAGAUAUUGGGAGGAACACCAGUGGCGAAGGCGGCUACCUGGACCGGUACUGACGCUGAGGCGCGAAAGCGUGGGGAGCAAACA